This 225-nucleotide ribosomal RNA is filed under the name uncultured bacterium. RNAcentral describes it as "partial 16S ribosomal RNA". It matches the Rfam family "Bacterial small subunit ribosomal RNA", at positions 15 to 244 of the family's 1533-position model. The record is from RNAcentral.
GAUCCUGGCUCAGGAUGAACGCUGGCGGCGUGCCUAAUACAUGCAAGUCGAACNCUUCACUUCGGUGAAGAGUGGCGAACGGGUGAGUAAUACAUAAGUAACCUGGCAUCUACAGGGGGAUAACUGAUGGAAACGUCAGCUAAGACCGCAUAGGUGUAGAGAUCGCAUGAACUCUAUAUGAAAAGUGCUACGGGACUGGUAGAUGAUGGACUUAUGGCGCAUUAG